This 165-nucleotide ribosomal RNA is filed under the name Jacquemontia obcordata. RNAcentral's name for it is "5.8S ribosaomal RNA". The stretch from base 1 to 137 matches the Rfam family "5.8S ribosomal RNA", at positions 20 to 154 of the family's 154-position model. Rfam says of the family: 5.8S ribosomal RNA (5.8S rRNA) is a component of the large subunit of the eukaryotic ribosome. The record is from RNAcentral. Lineage: Eukaryota; Viridiplantae; Streptophyta; Magnoliopsida; Solanales; Convolvulaceae.
CUCGGCUCUCGCAUCGAUGAAGAACGUAGCGAAAUGCGAUACUUGGUGUGAAUUGCAGAAUCCCGUGAACCAUCGAGUCUUUGAACGCAAGUUGCGCCCGAAGCCGUCAGGCCGAGGGCACGUCUGCCUGGGCGUCACGCAUCACGUCACCCCCUUCCUGCGACC